UCCUCGGUAGCUCAGCGGUAGAGCAGCCGACUGUUAAUCGGCUGGUCGCUGGUUCGAAUCCAGCCCGGGGAGCUA
This 75-nucleotide transfer RNA is filed under the name Gloeobacter kilaueensis JS1. Its description in RNAcentral is "tRNA-Asn". It matches the Rfam family "tRNA". Rfam says of the family: Transfer RNA (tRNA) molecules are approximately 80 nucleotides in length. Their secondary structure includes four short double-helical elements and three loops (D, anti-codon, and T loops). The record is from RNAcentral. Lineage: Bacteria; Bacillati; Cyanobacteriota; Cyanophyceae; Gloeobacterales; Gloeobacteraceae.